AGAGUUUGAUCCUGGCUCAGGAUGAACGCUGGCGGCAGGCUUAACACAUGCAAGUCGAGCGGGCGUAGCAAUACGUCAGCGGCAGACGGGUGAGUAACGCGUGGGAACGUACCUUUUGGUUCGGAACAACACAGGGAAACUUGUGCUAAUACCGGAUAAGCCCUUACGGGGAAAGAUUUAUCGCCGAAAGAUCGGCCCGCGUCUGAUUAGCUAGUUGGUGAGGUAAUGGCUCACCAAGGCGACGAUCAGUAGCUGGUCUGAGAGGAUGAUCAGCCACAUUGGGACUGAGACACGGCCCAAACUCCUACGGGAGGCAGCAGUGGGGAAUAUUGGACAAUGGGCGCAAGCCUGAUCCAGCCAUGCCGCGUGAGUGAUGAAGGCCCUAGGGUUGUAAAGCUCUUUUGUGCGGGAAGAUAAUGACGGUACCGCAAGAAUGAGCCCCGGCUAACUUCGUGCCAGCAGCCGCGGUAAUACGAAGGGGGCUAGCGUUGCUCGGAAUCACUGGGCGUAAAGGGUGCGUAGGCGGGUCUUUAAGUCAGGGGUGAAAUCCUGGAGCUCAACUCCAGAACUGCCUUUGAUACUGAGGAUCUUGAGUUCGGGAGAGGUGAGUGGAACUGCGAGUGUAGAGGUGAAAUUCGUAGAUAUUCGCAAGAACACCAGUGGCGAAGGCGGCUCACUGGCCCGAUACUGACGCUGAGGCACGAAAGCGUGGGGAGCAAACAGGAUUAGAUACCCUAGUAGUCC
This 744-nucleotide ribosomal RNA is filed under the name uncultured bacterium. RNAcentral describes it as "bacterial SSU rRNA". It matches the Rfam family "Bacterial small subunit ribosomal RNA", at positions 8 to 796 of the family's 1533-position model. The record is from RNAcentral.